GAAUAGGGCUGGUAAGAACUAGCAUUUCUUACGGUGCGUGAAGACUGUUGCCUACAGCUUGGAUAAAGCGAACUCUUGGUGCCUAGUCUUGGCAGAGGCUUCCAGCUAGUUGGUAUCAAAGAUGAGGAUAAGGACGACUUCAUAAAGAACAUUAUCGCCGGAAGAGGGAUCCAGUUCAUGUGGACAAGAGGGAGGCAGGACCUGGAGGUGGUCAUCCUGGUGAACCUUGGCCUGCACCAACCUGUCUCACGUUGAAGGGCUCCGGCGACCAGAGCCACACAACAGGGAAGGCAACGAGGACUCGGGUACUGAUCAUUUAUAACGACGGCAUAAAGUGGCAAGACAUUGCUCGUCACCACAGUGUCAUCUGUGAGACCGGCGUUUAAUUUUUUUGCCAGAAAAUGGCCUGAAUAGUAAAUUUUGUAAAAUAUUAAAAUUUAAACAUAAUCUUCUAGAAUACCUCGGCCAGGAAGUCUCUUUAUGCUUUGUCUACACAACUUGCCACUAGGAACCUAGUGUCAUUCGGGUAAUUUUUCUUUUUAGGGAAAAUAUAUCCCUCGGUUAAACUAUUAAUGGCUUGUGACUAUUAGUCACAAUGACAUGACAUUAGAACAAUGCAUAGUGGUAUGUGAACAACCAUAUGUACACCAAUUAGCCCCCCCCCCCUCCCCUACAGACCAGUGAAGGUGUAUUACUUGUAAAGCCUGGUGGUGGCAUUAUUGUGGGGGUCUCCCAGUGACCUCGCUAAAUGUCUAAGAUGAAUGACUUGUACUGUUUGUUUGGCAGAGACACACUUUCUGGAAGAAACUUGAACGCUGCCUCGACUCUCCAAUGUUCUAAAUACAUCUUACAGGUGUUUAUAUUAAAAACAAUUCUAACUGGUCAACUAACUUGAGUAAAUGAUUUCCUUAGUUGCCUAUAUCUCUCUCUCCACAGAACU
Procambarus clarkii (red swamp crayfish) is the source of this 940-nucleotide long non-coding RNA. RefSeq lists it as uncharacterized. NCBI's taxonomy places the organism in Eukaryota, Metazoa, Arthropoda, Malacostraca, Decapoda, Cambaridae. The record is from RefSeq and is a predicted model, not a curated record.